GACGAACGCUGGCGGCGUGCCUAAUACAUGCAAGUCGAACGAGAGCGCCCGGUGCUUGCCCUGGUCAAUCUAGUGGCGAACGGGUGAGUAACACGUGGGUAACCUGCCCAUCAGAGGGGGAUAACAUCCGGAAACGGAUGCUAAAACCGCAUAGGUCUUCGAACCGCAUGGUUUGAAGAGGAAAAGAGGCGCAAGCUUCUGCUGAUGGAUGGACCCGCGGUGCAUUAGCUAGUUGGUGAGGUAACGGCUCACCAAGGCCGUGAUGCAUAGCCGACCUGAGAGGGUGAUCGGCCACAUUGGGACUGAGACACGGCCCAAACUCCUACGGGAGGCAGCAGUAGGGAAUCUUCCGCAAUGGACGCAAGUCUGACGGAGCAACGCCGCGUGAGUGAAGAAGGUGUUCGGAUCGUAAAACUCUGUUGUUAGAGAAGAACAAGUGCUAGAGUAACUGUUAGCGCCUUGACGGUAUCUAACCAGAAAGCCACGGCUAACUACGUG
This 498-nucleotide ribosomal RNA is filed under the name uncultured bacterium. Its description in RNAcentral is "partial 16S ribosomal RNA". It matches the Rfam family "Bacterial small subunit ribosomal RNA", at positions 28 to 507 of the family's 1533-position model. The record is from RNAcentral.